CAGUCGCCGCGGGAAUACGAAGGGUGCAAGCGUUACUCGGAAUUACUGGGCGUAAAGCGUGCGUAGGUGGUGGUUUAAGUCCGUUGUGAAAGCCCUGGGCUCAACCUGGGAAUUGCAGUGGAUACUGGGUCACUAGAGUGUGGUAGAGGAUAGUGGAAUUUCCGGUGUAGCAGUGAAAUGCGUAGAGAUCGGAAGGAACAUCUGUGGCGAAGGCGACUAUCUGGGCCAACACUGACACUGAGGCACGAAAGCGUGGGGAGCAAACAGGAUUAGAUACCCCUGUAGUCCCUGUCUCUUAUAC
RNAcentral lists this ribosomal RNA (301 nucleotides) under uncultured bacterium. Its description in RNAcentral is "partial 16S ribosomal RNA". It matches the Rfam family "Bacterial small subunit ribosomal RNA", at positions 509 to 807 of the family's 1533-position model. The record is from RNAcentral.